UACGGAAGGCAGCAGUGGGGAAUAUUGCACAAUGGGCGCAAGCCUGAUGCAGCCAUGCCGCGUGUAUGAAGAAGGCCUUCGGGUUGUAAAGUACUUUCAGUCGUGAGGAAGGUGUUAAGGUUAAUAACCUUAGCAAUUGACGUUAGCGACAGAAGAAGCACCGGCUAACUCCGUGCCAGCAGCCGCGGUAAUACGGAGGGUGCGAGCGUUAAUCGGAAUUACUGGGCGUAAAGGGCACGCAGGCGGUUAAUUAAGUUGGAUGUGAAAUCCCAGGGCUUAACCUGGGAAUGGCAUUCAAGACUGGUUAGCUAGAGUCUUGUAGAGGGGGUAGAAUUCCAUGUGUAGCGGUGAAAUGCGUAGAGAUGUGGAGGAAUACCGGUGGCGAAGGCGGCCCCUGGGACAAGACUGACGCUCAUGUGCGAAAGCGUGGGGAGCAAACAGGAUUAGGAUACC
This 453-nucleotide ribosomal RNA is filed under the name uncultured bacterium. Its description in RNAcentral is "bacterial SSU rRNA". It matches the Rfam family "Bacterial small subunit ribosomal RNA", at positions 340 to 786 of the family's 1533-position model. The record is from RNAcentral.